RNAcentral lists this ribosomal RNA (449 nucleotides) under uncultured bacterium. RNAcentral describes it as "bacterial SSU rRNA". It matches the Rfam family "Bacterial small subunit ribosomal RNA", at positions 434 to 884 of the family's 1533-position model. The record is from RNAcentral.
UUUUGUCGGAGAGUAAAGUACGCUACGUGUAGCGUAUUGCAAGUAUCCGAAGAAAAAGCAUCGGCUAACUCCGUGCCAGCAGCCGCGGUAAUACGGAGGAUGCAAGCGUUAUCCGGAUUUAUUGGGUUUAAAGGGUGCGUAGGCGGCACGCCAAGUCAGCGGUGAAAUUUCCGGGCUCAACCCGGAGUGUGCCGUUGAAACUGGCGAGCUAGAGUACACAAGAGGCAGGCGGAAUGCGUGGUGUAGCGGUGAAAUGCAUAGAUAUCACGCAGAGCCCCGAUUGCGAAGGCAGCCUGCUAGGGUGAAACAGACGCUGAGGCACGAAAGCGUGGGUAUCGAACAGGAUUAGAUACCCUGGUAGUCCACGCAGUAAACGAUGAAUACUAACUGUUUGCGAUACAAUGUAAGCGGUACAGCGAAAGCGUUAAGUAUUCCAUCUGGGGAGUACG